CAACUACUCCCUUUGUCCCAAAUUUCUUGUCUUAGAUUUGUCUAGAUACGGAUGUAUCUAAUACUAAAAUGUGACUUGAUACAUCCGUAUCUAGACAAAUCUAAGACAAGAAUUUUGGGACGGAGGGAGUACUUU
Triticum aestivum (bread wheat) is the source of this 135-nucleotide non-coding RNA. The record is from Rfam. Lineage: Eukaryota; Viridiplantae; Streptophyta; Magnoliopsida; Poales; Poaceae.